UGCAGUCGACGAUGAAGCCCAGCUUGCUGGGUGGAUUAGUGGCGAACGGGUGAGUAACACGUGAGUAACCUGCCCUUGACUCUGGGAUAAGCACUGGAAACGGUGUCUAAUACCGGAUAUUUCAGCUGGCCGCAUGGUCUGGUUGUGGAAAGAAUUUUGGUCAAGGAUGGACUCGCGGCCUAUCAGGUAGUUGGUGAGGUAAUGGCUCACCAAGCCUACGACGGGUAGCCGGCCUGAGAGGGUGACCGGCCACACUGGGACUGAGACACGGCCCAGACUCCUACGGGAGGCAGCAGUGGGGAAUAUUGCACAAUGGGCGAAAGCCUGAUGCAGCAACGCCGCGUGAGGGACGACGGCCUUCGGGUUGUAAACCUCUUUUAGUAGGGAAGAAGCGAAAGUGACGGUACCUGCAGAAAAAGCACCGGCUAACUACGUGCCAGCAGCCGCGGUAAUACGUAGGGUGCAAGCGUUGUCCGGAAUUAUUGGGCGUAAAGAGCUCGUAGGCGGUUUGUCGCGUCUGCUGUGAAAACUGGAGGCUCAACCUCCAGCCUGCAGUGGGUACGGGCAGACUAGAGUGCGGUAGGGGAGAUUGGAAUUCCUGGUGUAGCGGUGGAAUGCGCAGAUAUCAGGAGGAACACCGAUGGCGAAGGCAGAUCUCUGGGCCGUAACUGACGCUGAGGAGCGAAAGCAUGGGGAGCGAACAGGAUUAGAUACCCUGGUAGUCCAUGCCGUAAACGUUGGGAACUAGAUGUGGGGGCCAUUCCACGGUCUCCGUGUCGCAGCUAACGCAUUAAGUUCCCCGCCUGGGGAGUACGGCCGCAAGGCUAAAACUCAAAGGAAUUGACGGGGGCCCGCACAAGCGGCGGAGCAUGCGGAUUAAUUCGAUGCAACGCGAAGAACCUUACCAAGGCUUGACAUAUACGAGAACGGGCCAGAAAUGGUCAACUCUUUGGACACUCGUAAACAGGUGGUUGCAUGGUUGUCGUCAGCUCGUGUCGUGAGAUGUUGGGGUUAAGUCCCGCAACGAGCGCAACCCUCGUUCUAUGUUGCCAGC
RNAcentral lists this ribosomal RNA (1054 nucleotides) under Agreia sp. RNAcentral describes it as "bacterial SSU rRNA". It matches the Rfam family "Bacterial small subunit ribosomal RNA", at positions 56 to 1122 of the family's 1533-position model. The record is from RNAcentral. Lineage: Bacteria; Bacillati; Actinomycetota; Actinomycetes; Micrococcales; Microbacteriaceae.